CUCCUUUUUCUGUUUUCGCAUCAAUUCCACUUGGGUGCGCAAAUCUUUUUCUAGUUGCAAGAUGGUCGUCUCUCCUUCUUCCUGAAUAAGACAACGUACCACUGUUAUAAGAUUCCAAGUGAAUUCCUUCAGAGGAAGAGAAGGACAACAUAAGAAGGCGUGGAUGACAGACUUUCAGUUAAACUAACAAGUAAGUCAACUCAUGGUCAACAGAAUAUGGCACAAAGAGGGUCUCCUAAGGAAGGUCCCAGUGAGGAAAAGUGAGUAAGUACCAGGGUACUUUUCCCCCCAAUUUUAAAACUUGUGGUAGAACACAUAUAACAUAAAAUUUACCAUCUUAACCAUUACGUGUACAGUUCAUUGGUAUUAAGUACAGUCAUAUUGUUGUGCAAUCAUAACCAUCACCUCCAAAACUCAUUUCCUCUUGCAAAAGUGAAACUUCAUACUCAAACAAAUAAGUCCCCAUUUUUUCCCUUCUCCAAGCCUGGCAACCACCAUUCUACCUUUUGUCUCUAUGAUUAGACUACUCCAGGCACCAGGCACUUUUAUAGAAUGUGUAAAUUGGCAGCCAGGCACGGUGGCUCACGCCUAUAAUCCCAGCACUUCGGGAGGCCAAGGUGGGCAGAUCACGAGGUCAGCAGUUUGAGACCAACCUGGCCAACAUGGUGAAACCCCGUCUUUACUAAAAAUAGAAAAAUUAGCCAGGCAUGGUGGCGGACACCUGUAAUCCCAGCUACUCGGGAGGCUACGGCAGGAAAAUCGCUUGAACCCGGGAGGCGGAGGUUGCAGUGAGCCGAGACCACACCAUUGCACUCCUGCCUGGACAACACAGCGAGACUCUGUCUCUAAAUAAAUAAAGAAAUAACAGUGUAAAUUGGCUGGAAAGCUUGCUUUGGGUUAGCUAUAGGGUGGCAUGCCUAGCUCAUAUCUAAAUACUCAUCCUGCUAAUCCUAUGAACAUCGUCUCACCUUAGCAACAAAAACCCAUCUGGUAGUCCCUGCUCUACUCCUAACUGGUUAACAAGAAAAAAAAAAGUGGCAUUUUUUUAUAGGACAUAUACAUUUUUCUUAAAUGUCCUAUACAUUUACACAAUUUCAUUUAACAUUGUGAACUAGGAACAUCAGGUAACUUAAGGGAGAUGAUCGUUGUACACCUCACUUCUCGCCCAAUUUCACAUGGAAUGUGAAAAAAGAAAGAGAAACUAUGUCCAAAAUCAAUUAUAUUUAUGACAUUUAUGUUGACUCCAGGAAGCUCCACUUCAUGUUCUCUUCUGCCUGAUUGCUCUUGGCUACCAAGUAUGAAUUAUCCUUUGCCCUUUAAAGGUGAUCUCCCUCCUAAGCUAACUCCAAAUAGAUAUCCAGGCAGGUCUUCCUGUAACAGGAAGAGGGACCUGAGAACCUUAUGGGUGUACUCAUUGUCUUUCCAAGCUCCACAUCUGUCCUAAUUUUUAUGAUCCUGGCACUAUUUUUACUGGUUCUAAGCAGAGAUUUUCAGGACCCCAUCUGUUAUUCAUUUCAUCCUUGCUGUGUCCUCACUCAAGUCCCUGACUUGCAGUGGACCACAAUAUAGCCACUUCUCAGCUCCAUACCCAGAUGGAUGUCAUGGCAUGCUCUGAAAUGGACUAUGCACUCCCAGUAUUCCAGCUUUUGAGACAUUUCUUCUGAAGAAGCCAUUUUGGCUGGUUCAGUGGUAUGCAGCUUCUGGGUAUGAUAAAACCCACAAAGGUUGGUGUUUUCAUAGUAUUCCUUUUAAUCAUUAGUUACUUUUGUUCCUGUUUUCAUUUUCUUUCAGAGAAAGAACACUGCAGCACCAUCUAUGCCUACCUUUUUCUCAGCGUUUAUAAAAAAAAAUUCAUAUUCCCUACAAAGCAAAACUAUGGUAUAACAGGACAACUAAGACUGCCCUGGCACCAGAGAAACUACAAUCUAGAUGUGCUCUGCUUCCAGUCGGCCGAGAAGCCUGCAGCAAAUCACCUAAACACUUAAGGUCUUUGUGUGCCAUCCACACCCAACUGCAACUAGAGACUUUCAUUAGCCCCUUUCUGUCUCAGAGCUUUCGGUGGUUCUACAAGUCACCAGCCUGGAUCUCUAACAAUGUGUCUCUCCAAAGCUGUUAAUACAUUCACAUCCAAAAUAUCUCCAGCCACGAAAUCCUAGUUUAGAGGUUGCCCGUCCUUGUUGAAGAAACAUUUCUACACAAAUACCUGUUGCCUAUACCAGAUGGCCAUACCAAUACCCAAAUACUGACAAACGUUUAAAAGAAUUUACGGUACUCCCUUCACUUUAGAAAUGUUAACAGUUCAAGUCCAACAGAACUUAAAGGAAAAAAAGAGAAAUGUUAACAGUAAGUAAGGCAUUUAUUUAACAUAAUCUCAACUAAAGUCCAACUAAAGAGCUUCCCCAGGCAAACACUCCUUUUGCACUUCAUUUUGAAGACAAAAGAAUGCACAAGUUAAAAUCCUAAUAUUACCAUUUUAUUAAAAAUAACUUUUAAGAUCCAAUCUGUGGCCAAUAUUCGAUCUGGAUGCAAAACCCUGGCUUCCAGACAGGCCAGCCAGGGGCACUGCUCUGAAGGUCAUUACUUAAGUAUCCCAGUCUCCUCAGUCUGACAGACCUACCCCUGCCCAGCCAAUCUCCACAUAACAGCUAGUUGUUCAUAAUAAAUCCCAUCAGAUCCCCGCUUAACUACUCCCCUUCAAAGGCUCCACUGCCCUCAGGAAAUAGUUCAACCACCUUCUGUAGAAAGGCCUUCUAAAACCUCUC
This 2762-nucleotide long non-coding RNA is filed under the name Homo sapiens (human). RNAcentral describes it as "HSALNT0224610". The record is from RNAcentral. Lineage: Eukaryota; Metazoa; Chordata; Mammalia; Primates; Hominidae.